Molecule: long non-coding RNA, 436 nt
Filed under: Cairina moschata (Muscovy duck)
Lineage: Eukaryota; Metazoa; Chordata; Aves; Anseriformes; Anatidae
Description: domestica (muscovy Duck (domestic type)) lncRNA (ENSCMMG00000004415.1)
Source: RNAcentral
UGCUAAUUUGAAUUUCAGAACACACCUAAACCACAUUCUGAUCUCCAGAUUGUUGAUGUAUUCUUCGAAGUGAGAUAACCUGCACUGGUCACAGAGCUCCACGUGAGGAUUUACCAACUCUGAGCAGAUUGGAAGAAAUAUUUUGUGGAGGUGGCUGGUGUGGUACAGCUGUUGGUGGCUACAAGCAGUGCAAGUUUUGCUCCUCAUCUGAAGCUAAAGGUUCAUGUAACAAUCACACCCGCGGCUCACUUCUGCAGCCUUCAAGAUAAUCUGUUUCCUGAAAAUAAGGGAACAAUGCUGGGAGGGCAAAGGUAACUUUGUUUUCACUGAUAUUUUUGUUAAGGCCAGACAGUGUCAGGCAGAACUCUUUCCUUCCCCCACUCUCAUUGUAUUUCCUAUACAAAGGUCAAGUGCAAUCACAGACCACAGUGAAAAG